Molecule: transfer RNA, 74 nt
Filed under: Candidatus Falkowiibacteriota bacterium
Lineage: Bacteria; Candidatus Falkowiibacteriota
Description: tRNA-Trp
Rfam family: tRNA
About the family: Transfer RNA (tRNA) molecules are approximately 80 nucleotides in length. Their secondary structure includes four short double-helical elements and three loops (D, anti-codon, and T loops).
Source: RNAcentral
GCGGGAUUAGUAUAAUGGUAGUACAGGGGUUUCCAAAACCUCUAGCGUGGGUUCGAUUCCUACAUCCCGUGCGA